Molecule: ribosomal RNA, 2126 nt
Filed under: Candidatus Roizmanbacteria bacterium RIFCSPLOWO2_02_FULL_39_8
Lineage: Bacteria; Candidatus Roizmaniibacteriota
Description: bacterial LSU rRNA
Rfam family: Bacterial large subunit ribosomal RNA
Source: RNAcentral
UAAUGGUGGAUGCCUUGGCAAUUUGAGCCGAAGAAGGACGUGUGUGUAAGCACGAUAUCGUCGAUGAGCCCGUAAGCAGGCAUUUUAAUCGGCGGUUUCCGAAUGGGACAACCCCUUUCUGUGUAAACAGAGAGAUCCCCCGCCUUUGGCGGGAGGAAGGCAACCCGGUGAACUGACACAUCUUAGUAACCGGAGGAAAAUAAAACAAAAAUAGUGAUUCCGUCAGUAGCGGCGAGCGAAAGCGGAGAAGUCUAAACCCUGAAGUAGAGCGCAAGCUCUCACUUCAGGGGGUUGCGGGACCUUGCAUACGGUUUGUUUUUGAUAGGAGAACACGGUGGAAAACGUGAUCAUAGAGAGUGAUAAUCUCGUAUCCGAAAUCGAAAACAAGCUCGCGAGGAUUCCCAAGUACCACGAGCCACGGAAAAUCUUGUGGGAAUCUGGGGCGGUCAUGCUCCAAGACUAAAUACUCAAAUUGACCGAUAGUGAACUAGUACCGUGAGGGAAAGGUGAAAAGUCCCCCUGUGAGGGGAGUGAAAUAGUACCUGAAACCAUUAACUAACAAACAGACAGAGUCCCGCCAUUGGCGGGAUAAUGUCGUGCCUAUUGAAGAAUGAGCCAGCGAGUUUUCAAUAUCUGCCGUAAUAGGUUAACCAAUUAAUUUGGGAAGCCGUAGCGAAAGCGAGUCUUAAUUAGGGCGUGAUCAUGCUUAAUUGCAUAAUCAGGUAGAUGUUGGAAGACCCGAAACUGGGUGAGCUAACCAUGGACAGGGUGAGUCCCGCCGAAAGGUGGGAGGAGGCCCGAACUCUUCGUCGGCGAAAUGACGUGAGAUGAUCUGUGGUUAGGGGCAAUAUGCCAAUCGAACCCAGAGAUAGCUGGUUCUCCCCGAAAUAUAUUUAGGUAUAGCCUCGUAUCAAUCUUUCCAGGGGUAGAGCUACUGGAUUUCCUCUCUAGGCCGUAAGGCCUGGUGGGGACAACCAAACUCCAAAUACUGUGGAAGUUAGGAUACGGGAGUCAGACCUGCUCGGAUAAGCGAGUGUGGUCAAAAGGGAAACAACCCAGAUUCCCAUCUAAGGUCUUUAAGUAAUUAUUAAGUGGUAAAGGUAGUUGAGUUUCAAAGACAGACGGGAGGUUGGCUCAGAAGCAGCCAUCCUUUAAAGAGUGCGUAACAGCUCACCGUAAUAUGCCGCCCUCGGGCGCGCAUGAGGCUUGGCGCCGAAAAUGAUUCGAGUCUCAAAUAAUUCACCGAAGAUGGAAACCGUCCCGCAUUGCGGGACGAGUGGUAGGGGAGCUUUCUUUUUGCAGUGAAGCCCAGGUGUAAACCGAGGUGGAGCGGAAAGAAGUGAGGAUGCUGGCAUGAGUAGCGAUUCUGUGGGUGAAAAUCCCGCAUGCCGAAUGUUCAAGGUUUCCUCAGCAACGUAAAUCGACUGAGGGUUAGUCGGAUCUAACCGCGGCGUCCGAUAUGGGCGACGGGGGAUGUACAAGACGUCAAUAUUCGUCUACUUUUUUAUAUGCGUUAUUACUUUGUAGAUGACGAGGUAUGAGCACCCAGGUUAUGCGCAAGCGUAGCUUAAAUAGUAAGUCCUAAUUCAUUUUAGGGCAAGCUAUGAUGAAUACGGUUUGUCUUUAGGGGCAAAUUGUAGCUGGAAUGUUUACAUCUCCGGGAAAAGACUACAUAAGGAGUGUAUAGAAAAUCCGUACCGUAAACCGACACAGGUGAACUGGUCGAGAAGACUAAGGCAAUCGAGUAAGGAUGGUUCAAGGAAUUCGGCAAACAAUCUGGACGUAACUUAGGGAGAUGUCCUGUCCCGCCUCAGGCGGGAUUACAACAAAAGAUUUUCAUCUAACUGUUUAUCUAAAACACAGGUCCCUGCAAACCCGUAAGGGGAAGUAUAGGGGCUGAGGCCUGUCCAGUGCUGGUAAGUUAAAAAUUGGGGUUGAAGUCGCCUUCGGGUGAUCAGGCUCUGAUUUAAGCUCCAGUGAACGACAGCGGUAACUCUGACCGUUCUAAGGUAGCGUAAUCCCUUGCCGGGUAAGUUCCGGCCCGCAUGAAAGGCUUAAUAAGAUGAAAACUGUCUUGAACCAUUGCUCGGCGAAAUUGAAAUGGCUGUGAAGAUGCGGCCUACCUG